AACUAACAAGGAUUCCCCUAGUAACUGCGAGUGAACCGGGAAAAGCUCAAAUUUUGAAUCUGGCGGUCCAAGGGCCGUCCGAGUUGUAAUCUAGAGAAGCGUCUUCCGCGCUGGACCGUGUAUAAGUUUCCUGGAAUGGAACGUCGUAGAGGGUGACAAUCCCGUCUUUGACACGGACUCCCAGUGCUAUGUGAUGCGCUCUCGACGAGUCGAGUUGUUUGGGAAUGCAGCUCAAAUAGGGUGGUAAAUUCCAUCUAAAGCUAAAUACAGGCGAGAGACCGAUAGCGAACAAGUACCGUGAGGGAAAGAUGAAAAGAACUUUGGAAAGAGAGUUAAACAGUACGUGAAAUUGCUGAAAGGGAAACGCUUGAUGUCAGUCGCAUCGUCCGGGGAUCAGCCUCGCUCUUUUGCUCGGCGUACUUCCUGGUCGAUGGGUCAGCAUCGGUUUCGACCGUCGGAAAAUGGCUCGAGGAACGUGGCACUCUUCGGGGUGUGUUAUAGCCUCGAGUCGAAUACGACGGUCGGGACCGAGGAACUCAGCACGACCUUCGGGUUCGGGGCUUCGGCUCACGUUCGCGUGCUUAGGAUGCUGGCAUAAUGGCCUUAAGCGACCCGUC
RNAcentral lists this ribosomal RNA (617 nucleotides) under Suillus spraguei. Its description in RNAcentral is "partial 25S ribosomal RNA". It matches the Rfam family "Eukaryotic large subunit ribosomal RNA", at positions 63 to 653 of the family's 3401-position model. Lineage: Eukaryota; Fungi; Basidiomycota; Agaricomycetes; Boletales; Suillaceae. The record is from RNAcentral.